GGGGAUGUAGCUCAGUUUGGGAGAGCGCGGCGUUCGCAAUGCCGAGGCCAGGGGUUCGAACCCCCUCAUCUCCACCA
RNAcentral lists this transfer RNA (77 nucleotides) under Deltaproteobacteria bacterium. RNAcentral's name for it is "tRNA-Ala". It matches the Rfam family "tRNA". From Rfam's summary of the family: Transfer RNA (tRNA) molecules are approximately 80 nucleotides in length. Their secondary structure includes four short double-helical elements and three loops (D, anti-codon, and T loops). The record is from RNAcentral. Lineage: Bacteria; Pseudomonadati; Myxococcota; Myxococcia.